Long non-coding RNA from Sorghum bicolor (sorghum), 2072 nucleotides. RefSeq lists it as uncharacterized. NCBI's taxonomy places the organism in Eukaryota, Viridiplantae, Streptophyta, Magnoliopsida, Poales, Poaceae. The record is from RefSeq and is a predicted model, not a curated record. The transcript is spliced from 2 exons.
CUCUCUCUCUCCUCUCUCUCAUCCCCCCAAAUCAGAGGGUAGCGGCGGUGGCUCCCCUGACCACGGCGUGGAUCUGCAUCAGGCGGCCAUGCAAGCGCCUCCUCACCGACCGGCGGCAGCGCAGGCGCACCCUCUCCGACGCACUGAAAUUUGUUGGCGAGUACGAGCCAUUCACCCUUACGUACAGAGAUGAGUUUCUUCUUCUCCUUUCGAUCCACUUUUAUUCAGCCCCUUCCCUCUCCGAAGUCCCCUCUUUUAUUUUUUUCCUUGUUUGUCUUGAUUUCUCCCUGCCGUAAGUAGAUGUAGACAUGCAGCAUCCAGCAGUUCUAGUGUUAGUCCUGCUCUUUCAUGGCCGCCUGAUUACUGUAGUCCCCAUCCAUGGCCGCCUGGUUAUGCAGUUCACUGCUAUUCUUGGCGGAUGGUGUGAAUGGACAUGCAGCCUCUCCACUCAAUCUUUAGCCGAUGGCCCUUUGGAUUAGGAUUCUUUGUAUCAUAAAUAUGUUUGGAUUUAGUUACUAGUACUUCCCUAGUUUUGUAUCACGUUUUCUGAAAAUCAUCCUUACCAGAUUCUAAAAGCUAGUUCUAUCAGUGUGCAUGGUUUUAGCAAUUUUGUUAAUAGUGCCAGAACCAAUAUUCUAAAUGAUACCGUAUUUUAGAUCCAGCACAAUACAUGCUCCUGUGCAUGCUACUUAAUUAUUAUAACUUUGUUUGUCGUAAAUCAGAGAGGAGUUUAUGAUAUUUUUUUGCCUGAAUCAGACUCACAAGUUUAGGAAGACCAUGGAUUUUUUAUGGUAAUUUUACCAGAUAAGUUAGUUAAUAGGUUACCUGAAUCAGUAUGUUUUAUUUUGCCGGUACAGGAACUCUUAUAGUGUUUGGCACACUUUUUUCACUUAAUCCAGCCCCACGUUGACAACGUCACACCCCGGAUGCUACAAAUGACCUGACAGAGGGCAUACUCUCCUAGAGUUUUGCUCUAACUCAUGAUGCCAAAAAUCAGUUAAAUAUGCCCUCUGUGCCGGAUUGUUAUUUGGAAUACUGGGUGUGACAUUGUCGUGAUGAAGCUAUCAGAGAUGUACUUUUCUGCAGAAUGAUUUCUUGUUUCGAUGACUUUAUCAUGUAAAUGUAAAUAUGUCAGAUAUCAGCUUACUGAUUCCACCUUUCUACUCACCAUUUCUUUGGCAUUGGAAUCAGGCAGCAAGAGAUUUCAGCUUAUUGAUUUGGCAGUAUAAUUUAUUUCUUGCAUAGUGCAGAUUAAAACCAGUAUAAUUUAUUCUCUUGGUGUGCUCUCACUUACUCAUAGUCGCAAUUUCAGUUCAUUAGAGCAGCCCCUCUAGGCACGGGCGAUAUGGUUACCACGUCAAUCUCAGCAGCAAAAUGGUGAGCAAAGGGCUUCCGGCUAGUGACACAACAAUAGGAUACAGCCAUGGAUAUCACUCAGGUUCUGCUAGAUGCUCAAUCUCCAGAUGCUAACCUUCGAACAGUAGGAGAAAGCAACCUCACACAGUUCCAGGAGCAGAAGCUUUAAGCUACGCUCAACUGUCUGUGUGACUCAGAUUUGAUGCAAACCGUGUUAUAAAAAAAGACAUGUUGUAAUUUGUUCAUUUCAAAUCAAUGUCUGUUCCAAUCUAUGUGUCCUAUCACUAUUGAUUAUACUUCUAUUCUGUACAGGCACUACUUUCUCAACUUGGGUAGCAGCAACAAUAAGAUCUGAAGCUUUCUGUACAAGUACCUGCAGAUGGUUUUGCUGUGAUCUUAGUGGCAAAUUGUUGUGAUAUUCACUGAACAGAAAUGGCAGUGCUGUUGCUGGUGGUUGCCUGUGGCCCUAGUUUAGUAGUGUUACUGUUGCUAGUGGUUGCCUAUGGCCCUAGUUUAGUAGUGUUACUGUGAAUUUGGUUGAGUUGUGAGUCAAGUACUGAUGUUAAGUACUGAUGUCCCUAGUUAUCUUGCUACUGAUGUCAAGUUAGUUGUGAGUCAAGUAAUGAUGUUAAGUGAGUUAUGCAAUAACUUAUGUUGCCACUUUGUGGAAUCUUUUAGUCAUUUCAAUGUUAUUAAAAAAAUGCAUUUUUCAUUCC